Non-coding RNA from Rhinichthys klamathensis goyatoka, 467 nucleotides. The record is from the annotation of a RefSeq genome assembly. Lineage: Eukaryota; Metazoa; Chordata; Actinopteri; Cypriniformes; Leuciscidae.
AUGAAUGAGCCUCAGAGUCUUGUGAGCAUCUCUGUCAUCUUCAUCUGGACUCUCACAGCGUUUGCUCAAGAGUGUAGAGGACAGAUCACCGUCACUCAGAGUCCCUCAAUAACAGCAGAACAACCAGGAGGAACUGUGAAUAUCAAAUGUAAAACCAGCAGAGAUGUGUACAGUGUUGGUUCUGUUUAUAUCUUAUCCUGGUACUUACAGAAACCUGGAGAAGCUCCUAAACUCCUGAUUUAUUACGCAAACCGCCUCCAGUCGGGAACUGCAUCUAGAUUCAGUGGCAGUGAAUCUAACAGUGAUUUCACUCUGAGCAUCAGUGGAGUCCAGACUGAAGAUGCUGGACAUUAUUACUGUCAGAGUUAUCAUUGCAGAACAGAUUCUGAUAAUUAUUGUGUGGGUGAUCGAGUGUUCACACAGUGAUAAAGAGUCGUACAAAAACCUCCGUCAGUCAGAGUCACAGU